Molecule: long non-coding RNA, 4941 nt
Organism: Vicia villosa (hairy vetch)
Lineage: Eukaryota; Viridiplantae; Streptophyta; Magnoliopsida; Fabales; Fabaceae
Exons: 4
Source: RefSeq, a predicted model, not a curated record
AUAUAUAUAUAUAUAUAUAUAUUUUAAUUUUAAUUUUUCUUCAUGUUUUGUGUUGUUAAUUCAUUUUGUGCAUCAAGGUUUCUUACGUUGUGUUGUUUUCCAGAUGUGAGUUUCACUUCUAACAUUUAAUCUGACCACUUCCUUCUCACUUUUAUUUUCCAAAUCAGAGUUUCAAUUUUAACAGUUUUGGAGCCGCGAUCUAUAACUCUUCAUUAAUGUUGCUGCUUAAUUUUUGUUUUUUUAGAUUUAAUCUGACCACUUCCUUCUCACUUUUAUUUUUUAUUUUUCAGAAAUCUGACCACUUCCUUCUCACUUUUUCCGUUCAGAGUUUCACUCAACAAGUUUAAUCUGGCCACUUUCUUCUCAUUUUUAUUUUCUACACAACUACUUGUUUUUGUUCCUAGUUGUUCCAUACACUUAGUCUUACUCUCUUAUUAUUGAUGCGGUGAAACUUGGAAUUGGGACUUGGAUUUCUGAUUAGGUAACUAAGUAUCUCGUUUACCUUCCUUUAAUUUUUAGGUUUGGAUUUCAAUACUAAAACUCGGAUUGUUUUAGAUUGUUUGGGUUAGUUAUGAAAUUUUAUUCCAAGUAACACCUAAGUAAUUAAGUCUUAAAAUUUAAAUUCACAUAAAACAAAUUAGCCCAAAACUCAUGGGGUAAAGUUGAGCGGCAGGAGAAUUUGGCAUAAUUCGUUUUUGAAUUUGAAUUUCCAGACUUAAUUACAGAACAAAAAAAAGUGUUAGUUGGAAGAAAAUUUACUUAAUUACAUUACAAAAGUGUUAGUCGGAAGACAAUUAACUUUCCAACUUAUCCAUAAUGUAUAUGUUAAUUCAAAUAUAAUCCAAACAAUACGGACAAUAAGAGUUUGUAUUGAGAAGGUAGCAGAACUAGAAAAAAAGUCUCCCAUGCCGGAACUGGUGCUCAAGUAGGUAAUCGUGGUAAACAUAGACAUGCCGGAAUGGUAAAAGUAAUCUCCUAUCUAUUAUCUACCCAUUAUUAAACAAUGAACCAUUCUUCCUAUUGUGCCUUACCUAAAAAAAAUUUGCGCUACAACUUGGACAUUUUAGUAACUAGCAAAAUAAACAUUCACUUUAUCAUCUUUUCUGUCUGGAUGCCCCAAAUGUUCAUUUUAAUUGGUCCAGUUUAAAUUAUAUUUUUCCCUCAAGACAAUCUUACACUAAACAAAAGAAACAACAGUACACUCCAAGGACACUAAUUCCUCAGUCUCUAUUUUCUCUCUCUGCUCCCGUUUUCUCUUGUCUCUCUUUUCCCUCCAGUUCUCACCAUCACUCAGUCUCACCAUCACUCAGUCCUCACCAAAAUGGGCACAUUCCUCUGUCCUCACCAUCACUGAAAGUGUAGAACAUUACUCACUCUUCAUCUAAUGGGAAAUAUGUCUUCUCCUCCCACCUUCCUCACUCUCCUUCCUCUUCACCCUCUUCUCUCUCCACGGUAACUCUUCCUCAAUCUCUAUUCCUUUCUCCAAUUUUUCAAUUUCACUUUUUCAGUUCAAGCGAACGAAGUCAUUUCCGAAGACGGUUUCACCGUCACAACCGUUCUCGAUGGUCACAAGCUUCACAUAAACCCUUUCUCCGUUCUCCAACGACCCCAUUCCUCCGAGAUCUCAUCAUUGUUACUCCUCAAAUAGUACUUUCUACACUGUCCAAUCACCCAUUUCCCAAGAAAGUGUUUUCAAAAGGUUUUCUGGAAAUGGGUUGCUUGGGUAUGGUGAUGGUGAUGUGUGUUCCGCAAGGUUUUCCAAAUCUAAAAGCUUUGUUGUUCAUGUAAGAGGGAAUGUGUAUGUUGCUGAUAUGGUUAAUAAGGUGAUGGGGAAAAUCAGCACCAAUGGUAUGUUUCUACAUAAACUUUUCUAUGGCUUGGUUCUAUCUUUGGGUUUUAUCUAUUUAUACAUGAGGAUAUUUUAUCUUUUUCCUCAAUUUUAAUGUGUGCACUGUAGAACAUCAAAUGUAGUCUCUGUGUUUGAGAACAAAGGACAUAAGCUUAUUUCAUUUUACUUCUGUCAUUAGUCAUUGGUUUCAAGGUUUCUCAUUUGUUUAAAAUGAUGUUAUUUGUUUCAAGGUUUGUCAUAGAGAUAAUAGUAAAUUACAUGAACAACUUACUCAUUACAACUAAUUGAUUCCUACAAAGUGUUUAUGUAAAUUGGAGUGAGACUUGGACCAAAGUGGUAAAACAAUUUGUUGAAGUUGACUUAUUAUGGUUUUACAUGAGAUUUAGCUUUCCAAAGCUCUGUUUCUCUCUUUUUUAUUGAAACUUUAAUUUCUUUUCCGACUUUUCUCACAAUGUAUUUUCUCAUAAUUUUAUUUCAUUUCAUUUGGCAAUUACUUUUGAAAUUUCGUUUCAUGCUCAGAAGCUGAGCUGAGCCACGCUGCUGAUGCGCUGAGCACUGGAAAUCCAACAAGUUUGAAGCAUCAGGAAGAAUGAAACAGCAUAAUGACCAUCACGAGGGACGAGACCAACAACUUUUUCUCCUUCUCAUACCCAUUUGCAUCCCUAUUAACAUUACAUUCCUAUUAACAUAACAAAGUUGGGUAUUUGGUAUUUUCACUAAAAUAAUCAACCUUUAUGAGCUACUUUUGUUAUUGUUUGCUUUAGUUUUUCAACUACACACUUGUGUUCUCAAAGUGAAUAACCUGUGAUGAUGGAUGUAAGCAUAAAAGGAGGUGUAGCUGGUGGAAGCAUUCUGAGGAAAAGGAUUAGAGAAGGAACUUCAUAGCUUACUUCCUCCAUACGUGUCGAAUGGAAUUAGAGUCACACCUCCUCCAUACGGCAUCGAUAUUACAUGGCUCAAAGCAAAGAUGAUUGGCAAUGUAAGUUCCAUGUCACCUUGAUGAUAAAUAUUCAAGGUUCUGUUUUUCAUUAUCUUUUAUCUCUUCAUGUUUCUAGUUUUUUUCUUCAGGUUUUGAGGUGUUUCAAUUUAGUUAAAUAUAUAUAUAUAUUUUAAUUUUAAUUUUUCUUCAUGUUUUUUGUGUUGUUAAUUCAUUUUGUGCAUCAAGGUUUCUUACGUAGUGUUGUUUUCCAGAUGUGAGUUUCACUUCUAACAUUUAAUCUGACCACUUCCUUCUCACUUUUAUUUUCCAAAUCAGAGUUUCAAUUUUAACAGUUUUGGACCCGCGAUCUAUAACUCUUCAUUAUUGUUGCUACUUAUUUUUUGUUUUUUAGAUUUAAUCUGACCACUUCCUUCUCACUUUUAUUUUUUAUUUUUCAGAUAUUUGACCACUUCCUUCUCACUUUUUUCCGUUCAGAGUUUCACUCAACAAGUUUAAUCUGACCACUUCCUUCUCAUUUUUAUUUUCUACACAAUUACUUGUUUUUGUUCCUAGUUGUUCCAUACACUUAGUCUUACUCUCUUAUUAUUGAUGCGGUGAGACUUGGAAUGAGACUUGGAUUUCUGGCAAUCCCUUUGAUUAUGUAAGAAAGCCCCAGUAUCUCGUUUACCUUCUCAGUACAAACUCUUGUUUAAUUUUUAGGUUUGGAUUUCAAUACUAAAACUCAGGAUUGUUUUAGAUUGUUUGGGUUAGUUGUUUGGGUUAGUAUGUGUUUCAUGUAAAAGUUUGUAUUGUCUUGGAAAGUUAAACUUUUUCAUAAAUUGUGAAAUUUUAUUCCAACUAACAUCUAAGUAAUCAAGUCUUAAAAUUUAAAUUCAAAUUCAACUAACACUUUUAGUAUAAUUCAAAUGAUCUGUAUAAAAAAAAUAAAAUAUAAAACAAAUUAGCCCAAAUUCUCCUACCCAAUUUUACCCCAAGAAUUUUGGAUCGUCCAAAGCCAAUAGGAAAAAAUACUGUUUUGGACAAUUCAAAAUUCAUAGGGUAAAGUUGAGCUGCAGUAGAAUUUGUCAUAAUUCGUUUUAGUUUUUGAUACGCUAUCAAUGACAAUUUGAAUUAUUCAUGUAAAAGAUCUUAGUUGAAUUUGAAUUUCCAGACUUUAUUACAGAACAUAAAAAGUGUUAGUUGGAAGACAAUUUACUUAAUUACAGAACAAAAAAAGUGUUAGUUGGAAGACAAUUUACUUAAUUACAUUACAAAAAAGGUAUUAGUUGGAAGACAGGUAACUUUCCAACUUAUCCAUAAUGUAUAUGUUAAUUCAAAUAUAAUCCAAUUAAUACAUUCCACAAGAGUUUGUAUUGAGAAGGUAGCAGAACUAGAAAAAGUAUUGGCCGAAGCCUUCAUUGAUAGUGUCGAAGCCUUCUAUGACAGUAGACAAUGCCUCUGAAACACAUCAUUGGAUGAUAGUAGAACCACAAUCCGGGAAAGUCUCCCAUGCCGGAACUGGUGCUCAAGUUGUGCCACAAGGUUGCAGUUUGCUGGAGAGGAGAUUUAGGAGAAAAUGGGAGUGAUUUCAGUUGAGUUGCUGAAGAAUCAGUUUAAGCUGCUGAAGAAUCGGAGAGACGUUGGAGAUGGUACUGAAGUGUGACUGGAUCGUGGGAAAAAUUCUAAGAAAAUAACGCAAGUGGCGGGGGGCCACUUGCUAAAGGGACGGACGCCCUCUUUCUUUUAUUUCUUUUUCUUCUUUUUCUUCAAAAUAGCUUAGGUGCGGGGGCCACCAAGGGAGGGACGGACGUCACUUUCUUCUCUUCUUCAUUUUCAUCUUAGGCACGUGGGGUGGGCGUCCCGACUUUCUUUCUUUAUUAUUUUUUUCCACUUCUUUUCUUUAAUAAAUAAUGGGUCUCCAAUCGAGCUUUUGCAUUUCUUCAUUUCUUCACCGAAUAAUUCUUUGAAAAUACUUUAUUUCUUCUUCUUUUUAAUCGAACUCGAGAAAAAUUAAAUAUGUGAAAUAAAACGAGAAUACCGGCAUAAUACUAAAAUAAAACAAUAUAAUUAAUAUAAAAUAAAGACAUAAUUUAUGUUAAUUGAAUCAAAUAAUACGAUAUAUUUUCAUGUUAUCAAACUCCCCUAUACUUGAACCUUUGUUUGUCCUCAAGAA